Molecule: ribosomal RNA, 1275 nt
Filed under: human gut metagenome
Description: bacterial LSU rRNA
Rfam family: Bacterial large subunit ribosomal RNA
Source: RNAcentral
UGAGGUGUGGAUAGGGGAGAAAUUCCAAUCGAACCCGGAGAUAGCUGGUUCUCCUCGAAAUAGCUUUAGGGCUAGCCUCAUACAAGUCUUGCGGAGGUAGAGCACUGAAUUCCUACGGGGGCGUCAAAGCUUACCAAGGGAUAUCAAACUCCGAAUGCCGUGUAGAUGAUGUAUGGGAGUCAGACUAUCCGAGAUAAGUUGGGUAGUCGAAAGGGAAAGAGCCCAGACCUGCAGCUAAGGCCCCAAAAUGUGUGUUAAGUGGAAAAGGAUGUGGGAUUUCGAAGACAACUAGGAUGUUGGCUUAGAAGCAGCCAUCCAUUAAAAGAGUGCGUAAUAGCUCACUAGUCGAGAGGUCCUGCGCCGAAAAUGUCCGGGGCUGAAACACACUGCCGAAGCUCAGGAAUCUGCGAAUGCAGGUUGGUAGAGGAGCAUUCUUAAAGAGACGAAGCUGUACCGAAAGGAGCAGUGGAUUUUUAAGAAGAGAGAAUGCCGGAAUGAGUAGCGAGAAAGAGGUGAGAAUCCUCUUGGCCGAAUAUCUAAGGUUUCCAGGGUAAAGCUGAUCUGCCCUGGGUAAGUCGGGGCCUAAGGCGAGGUCGAAAGACGUAGUCGAUGGAUAACAGGUUGAAAUUCCUGUACUAUCCUGUAACAGAACUGUGGGGACGCAGACAGAGAGCACAAGCCGGGAAUGGAAAGACCGGUGCAAGCGAGGUAGGAGUACAUCAGGCAAAUCCGGUGUGCAAUCCGAAGACGUGAUGCGGAUCGAAAAGAAGUAGAGAAGUGUGUGAGCUGGCUGCCAAGAAAAGCCGCUAUUGUUUACAGGAUACCCGUACCGUAAACCGACACAGGUGGAUGAGGAGAGAAUCCUAAGGCCGACGGGAGAAGCAUUGUUAAGGAACUCGGCAAAAUGACUCCGUAACUUCGGGAGAAGGAGUGCCAUGCGAAUGGCCGCAGAGAAUUGGCCCAAGCAACUGUUUAGCAAAAACACAGGUCUAUGCGAAACCGAAAGGUGAGGUAUAUGGGCUGACGCCUGCCCGGUGCUGGAAGGUUAAGGGGAGAGGUUAGCGCAAGCGAAGCUUUGAACUUAAGCCCCAGUAAACGGCGGCCGUAACUAUAACGGUCCUAAGGUAGCGAAAUUCCUUGUCGGGUAAGUUCCGACCCGCACGAAAGGCGUAAUGAUUUGAGCGCUGUCUCGACAAUGCACCCGGUGAAAUUGAAAUACCAGUGAAGAUGCUGGUUACCUGCGCCAGGACGGAAAGACCCCAUGGAGCUUUACUC